GAAGAGAGAGGAAGAGAGAGAGUUGUGAGUUGAGUCAACUCGCUGACGAGUUGAGUCUGAGUUGACUCGGUCCAUAUUCUGGCUGGACGUUCCAGCAAUAAUAAAAGAAAAAAAGGGAAAGAAAGGAAGGGAGUGAGAAAGUGAAAGAGGGUAGAGAAGAGAGCGAGGGGGAGAGAGUCAACUCGCCAAGUCGUAGUUGAAUCCACGACUUGUCAUUUUGCCCAGAUUCGAGUUGCCAAGUUUAGCUAUCGAGUUGAGGUUUGACUCGAUCGAGCUACAUCCGUGCUACCUAGCAGGCCACACACAACUAGGUUGUUUAACCAAGUUGAUGCAGGUAUAGGGCAAACCGAUGUUGUUCACUAGGUUGCUAGAGCAGAUCGAGUAUCUAGGGAGCUAG
Magnolia sinica is the source of this 397-nucleotide long non-coding RNA. RefSeq lists it as uncharacterized. The record is from RefSeq and is a predicted model, not a curated record. NCBI's taxonomy places the organism in Eukaryota, Viridiplantae, Streptophyta, Magnoliopsida, Magnoliales, Magnoliaceae. The transcript is spliced from 3 exons.